RNAcentral lists this ribosomal RNA (163 nucleotides) under Viola atroviolacea. Its description in RNAcentral is "5.8S ribosomal RNA". It matches the Rfam family "5.8S ribosomal RNA". Rfam says of the family: 5.8S ribosomal RNA (5.8S rRNA) is a component of the large subunit of the eukaryotic ribosome. Lineage: Eukaryota; Viridiplantae; Streptophyta; Magnoliopsida; Malpighiales; Violaceae. RNAcentral also lists the same sequence under 1 other name. The record is from RNAcentral.
UAACGACUCUCGGCAACGGAUAUCUCGGCUCUCGCAUCGAUGAAGAACGUAGCGAAAUGCGAUACUUGGUGUGAAUUGCAGAAUCCCGUGAAUCAUCGAGUCUUUGAACGCAAGUUGCGCCCGAAGCCUUUUGGCCGAGGGCACGUCUGCCUGGGUGUCACGC